CACCUGAAAUUGGAGGGAGGGGGGGAGAGAGAGAGAGAGAAGAUGCCAGUGGCACGACCCGAAUCAUCUGUUGCAAGGGUCAUCGCUCACCUUGACAUGGACUGUUUCUAUGUUCGAGUUGAGUGCAAGAACACCAUUCUGGCAGAGCUCCCAUUUCAUUGUUUUCAGUUUUCUUUAAAUAAUGAUGGCCAAAGGCUCACCAAAAGAGAGAAUAACUGGAGCAACGCAAACAGCCCCAUUUAAGGGGUUAGCCCACUGCUGUGGUACAGUACAACUCCUGGAAAGGUGGGGGUUUGAUUGCUGUCAGCUAUGAGGCCCGUAAAUAUGGGUUGAAGCGUUCAAUGCGAGGUGAUGAAGCGAAGCAAGUUUGCCCACAAAUCCAACUUGUCCAAGUCCCAGUUGCUCGUGGUAAAGCUGACUUGCGCAUCUACCGAAAUGCGGGUUCAGAGGUUUAAAGAAUUCAUAGGCGGUUUCUAUUCUUGCAAGGAAGGGUAGAUGUGAGCGUGCUUCAAUUGAUGAAGUGUAUCUUGAUCUCAGUGAUGCUGCUGAAGCAAUGUUAGCAGAAAAUCCUCCAGAGAGCUUGGA
This is a non-coding RNA of Camellia sinensis, 585 nucleotides long. NCBI's taxonomy places the organism in Eukaryota, Viridiplantae, Streptophyta, Magnoliopsida, Ericales, Theaceae. The record is from RefSeq and is a predicted model, not a curated record.